UCGGGAGUGCUUGCACUCUGUGAAACAAGAUACAGGGCUAGCGGCGGACGGGUGAGUAACACGUGGGUAACCUGCCCGAGAGAUCGGGAUAACACCUGGAAAACAGAUGCUAAUGCCGGAUAACAACAGAUGAUGCCUAUCAACUGUUUAAAAGAUGGUUCUGCUAUCACUCUUGGAUGGACCUGCGGUGCAUUAGCUAGUUGGUAGGUAACGGCCUACCAAGGCGAUGAUGCAUAGCCGAGUUGAGAGACUGAUCGGCCACAUUGGGACUGAGACACGGCCCAAACUCCUACGGGAGGCAGCAGUAGGGAAUCUUCCACAAUGGACGCAAGUCUGAUGGAGCAACGCCGCGUGAGUGAAGAAGGGUUUCGGCUCGUAAAGCUCUGUUGUUGGUGAAGAAGGACAGGGGUAGUAACUGACCUUUGUCUGACGGUAAUCAAUUAGAAAGUCACGGCUAACUACGUGCCAGCAGCCGCGGUAAAU
Molecule: ribosomal RNA, 483 nt
Filed under: uncultured Lactobacillus sp.
Lineage: Bacteria; Bacillati; Bacillota; Bacilli; Lactobacillales; Lactobacillaceae
Description: bacterial SSU rRNA
Rfam family: Bacterial small subunit ribosomal RNA
Source: RNAcentral